This is an RNA transcript of Rhinolophus ferrumequinum (greater horseshoe bat), 1667 nucleotides long. It is a transcript of the gene named wiskott-Aldrich syndrome protein family member 1, with no coding region annotated. The transcript has 5 exons. The record is from RefSeq and is a predicted model, not a curated record. Lineage: Eukaryota; Metazoa; Chordata; Mammalia; Chiroptera; Rhinolophidae.
AGCCGUCCGUGGCGAUGUAGAGGGUGUCGCCCGAGGCCAUGGCUGAGGGCUCCGCCACCACGGCCGCGGCGGCCUCGGCUCCGGGCGGGCGGGCGAGGAGGCGGCCGGCCGUGGGGAAGGAAGGCAGAGGGAGGAAGGCGGCGGGCGGGCGGGGGGAGAGGGGGCGGGCGGCAGGGGGAAGGGGCGGGCGCGGCGGCGGCGGCGGCGGCGGGCUUCCCCGCCUCCUCGCCUCGGUGCGCCCCGCGCUCGCUCGACCGCUGCUCGCCGCGGCGCCCCGCCUCGCCGCACCUUGGCCGCCCGCUCUGGCCGCGCCUCCUCCCGCCCUCCGGGCCGGCGCUCCGCUUCCCCCUUCCUCUUGCGCCUCCGCCUCCUUCCACACAAAUACCAACUCCUCACCCCGAGCCCAGAUCUCGCCGCCGCCGCCGCCGCCACACUCUGCUCGGGCUCGGCCUCGCGAGACUUCCGCGCUGGCCUCGGCCCGCCCCCCCUCGCUGCCACUCGCCCGCUUGCCCUCUCGCUCCUCCUCCUCUGCCAAUCGAUCUGCCCGUUCGCUACCGCGGCCCCGCCCACCGCCCGAGGCUCCUCCCGGAUUGGGGACAGCCCCCGCGCGCGCUGGCUGGCUCGCGGCGCGUGACGUCAGCGCGCCGCCGCCGCCGCGGCCGCGGCCGCCAGUUGUGCGGCUCCUGCCCUCCGCGGUGAAACCGCGGCGAAACCCGUUGACCCGGGCCGCACUCGGGAGCGGGGCGUCGUCGCUGCAGCCGCCGCCUCGGGAGCCGGCCCUGGAAGGCAGAACAGCUGCAAAACUGAUGGGUGGGAAGAGCAGACUGGAGUCCUCAAAACGUGGGCCAGGUCCUGGUUGUGCCGUUUGUCCCGUGUGAUGUCAGCAAAGUCCUGUAACCUCUACUCUUCCUUCCCUCGGCCAUGAAACAAGCCCAGUACUGCCAGUCUUCAUGGGCUAUAGGAGUCGGUAGUAAUGACCAGGACGCCGUGGUUGAUCGCAGCAUCCACAGCUUCCCGUACUGCUUACGUCUGAUGCAGCUUCACCCGUGGAACCCCCUUCACUUCUGUCUACUUCUGAAAUCCUGGGAUCUGCUGGAGGGAACACCACUCAUGUGCAUCAAGUUACAGGUCAGCAGCAAUGGACCAGUUCACCUGAAAAUGAUCCCCCCUCCUCCAUAAACACUGCUGCACCUUGAGGCUAUGCCUUGUGCUGACCUUGACUUGCCCUUCUCCCUGCAGAAAUCUCACCGAUUCCUUCCCAACCUCCCAGAGGUUGGACCAUCGAGCACCCUACGGGGCCACUGCCCCUGACCUCCCCAGCUAGUCUCUCUGAAGCUCCACUUUGUUCCUAGUUCUCCCCUGCUCCAGGGAGCCCCUCGCCCCCAGAUGAAAUCCAGACCUACAGUAAGACGCUCAAUUGGCUGGCCCACCUGUUCACCCUUCCCUUCUGCUGUGCCCUGCUCACCUGUGGCACACCUGGGCUUCUGGUGUCAGAGCUUCUGACAUGCAGAGCGCUACAAGUCUGUCCCAGUCUGACGUCUCGGCCACUAAUGCCACCUCUAACAAGAAACCUGCCCCUCCCCUUUAGCUACCAGUCAUUUCCCUCCUAUAGCUUUCUAUUUCUGCAUAUGAUCAAAAUUGCUUUUGCUUUGGUGAAUAACUGGUGU